This 331-nucleotide ribosomal RNA is filed under the name uncultured Pseudomonas sp. RNAcentral describes it as "bacterial SSU rRNA". It matches the Rfam family "Bacterial small subunit ribosomal RNA", at positions 1050 to 1382 of the family's 1533-position model. The record is from RNAcentral. Lineage: Bacteria; Pseudomonadati; Pseudomonadota; Gammaproteobacteria; Pseudomonadales; Pseudomonadaceae.
UGUCGUCAGCUCGUGUCGUGAGAUGUUGGGUUAAGUCCGUAACGAGCGCAACCCUUGUCCUUAGUUACCAGCACGUUAUGUGGGCACUCUAAGAGGACUGCCGGUGACAAACCGGAGGAAGGUGGGGAUGACGUCAAGUCAUCAUGGCCCUUACGGCCUGGGCUACACACGUGCUACAAUGGUCGGUACAAAGGGUUGCCAAGCCGCGAGGUGGAGCUAAUCCCAUAAAACCGAUCGUAGUCCGGAUCGCAGUCUGCAACUCGACUGCGUGAAGUCGGAAUCGCUAGUAAUCGUGAAUCAGAAUGUCACGGUGAAUACGUUCCCGGGCCUU